This 76-nucleotide transfer RNA is filed under the name Nitrolancea sp. RNAcentral describes it as "tRNA-Thr". It matches the Rfam family "tRNA". Rfam says of the family: Transfer RNA (tRNA) molecules are approximately 80 nucleotides in length. Lineage: Bacteria; Pseudomonadati; Thermomicrobiota; Thermomicrobia; Sphaerobacterales; Sphaerobacteraceae. RNAcentral also lists the same sequence under 4 other names. The record is from RNAcentral.
GCCCACGUAGCUCAGUAGGCAGAGCACAUUCUUGGUAAGAAUGAGGUCCUGGGUUCGAAUCCCAGCGUGGGCUCCA